Molecule: ribosomal RNA, 301 nt
Filed under: uncultured bacterium
Lineage: Bacteria
Description: partial 16S ribosomal RNA
Rfam family: Bacterial small subunit ribosomal RNA
Source: RNAcentral
CAGUAGCCACGGUAAUACGUAGGUGGCAAGCGUUGUCCGGAUUUAUUGGGCGUAAAGCGAGCGCAGGCGGUCAAUUAAGUCUGAUGUGAAAGCCCCCGGCUCAACCGGGGAGGGUCAUUGGAAACUGGUUGACUUGAGUGCAGAAGAGGAGAGUGGAAUUCCAUGUGUAGCGGUGAAAUGCGUAGAUAUAUGGAGGAACACCAGUGGCGAAGGCGACUCUCUGGUCUGUAACUGACGCUGAGGCUCGAAAGCGUGGGCAGCAAACAGGAUUAGAUACCCCGGUAGUCCCUGUCUCUUAUAC